Molecule: ribosomal RNA, 492 nt
Filed under: uncultured bacterium
Lineage: Bacteria
Description: partial 16S ribosomal RNA
Rfam family: Bacterial small subunit ribosomal RNA
Source: RNAcentral
AGUGAACGCUGGCGGUAGGCCUAACACAUGCAAGUCGAACGGCAGCACAGUAAGAGCUUGCUCUUACGGGUGGCGAGUGGCGGACGGGUGAGGAAUACAUCGGAAUCUACUUUUUCGUGGGGGAUAACGUAGGGAAACUUACGCUAAUACCGCAUACGACCUACGGGUGAAAGCAGGGGAUCUUCGGACCUUGCGCGAUUGAAUGAGCCGAUGUCGGAUUAGCUAGUUGGCGGGGUAAAGGCCCACCAAGGCGACGAUCCGUAGCUGGUCUGAGAGGAUGAUCAGCCACACCGGAACUGGGACACGGUCCAGACUCCUACGGGAGGCAGCAGUGGGGAAUAUUGGACAAUGGGCGCAAGCCUGAUCCAGCCAUACCGCGUGUGUGAAGAAGGCCUUCGGGUUGUAAAGCCCUUUUGUUGGGAAAGAAAAGCAGCAGGUUAAUACCCCGCUGUUCUGACGGUACCCAAAGAAUAAGCACCGGCUAACUUCGUG